GACGAACGCUGGCGGCGUGCCUAAUGCAUGCAAGUCGAGCGGGCUACGGUCUUCGGACUGUAGCUUAGCGGCGAACGGGUGAGUAACACGUAGGUAAUCUACCCUUCAGAGGAGGACAACCUCAGGAAACUGAGGCUAAACCUUCAUACGUUCACUGGUAGGGAUACUGGUGAAGAAAGAGUUACCUUAAAGGUAGCUGCUGAAGGAUGAGCCUGCGGCCCAUCAGGUAGUUGGUGAGGUAACGGCUCACCAAGCCGAAGACGGGUAACCGGUCUGAGAGGGUGACCGGCCCGAGGGGCACUGAGAUACGGGUCCCACUCCUACGGGAGGCAGCAGGCUAGAAAUUUGGGCAAUGGGGGAAACCCUGACCCAGUGACGCCGCGUGCAGGAAGGAGCCCUUCGGGGUGUAAACUGCUGUCGUGUAGGGAGAAGGGUACUAAGGUGAACAAUCUUAGUACUUGACGGUACUACAGGAGGAAGCCCAGGCUAACCUCGUGCCAGCAGCCGCGGUAAUAUAGCGUACUC
This 525-nucleotide ribosomal RNA is filed under the name uncultured bacterium. Its description in RNAcentral is "bacterial SSU rRNA". It matches the Rfam family "Bacterial small subunit ribosomal RNA", at positions 28 to 535 of the family's 1533-position model. The record is from RNAcentral.